Molecule: transfer RNA, 59 nt
Filed under: Pinus rigida
Lineage: Eukaryota; Viridiplantae; Streptophyta; Pinopsida; Pinales; Pinaceae
Description: partial tRNA-Asp
Source: RNAcentral
AUUGGUUAGAGUACCGCCCUGUCAGACGGAAGUUGCGGGUUCGAGUCCCGUCAGUCCCG